This 99-nucleotide small nucleolar RNA is filed under the name Sorex araneus (European shrew). RNAcentral describes it as "Small nucleolar RNA SNORA27 (ENSSARG00000020195.1)". The record is from RNAcentral. Lineage: Eukaryota; Metazoa; Chordata; Mammalia; Eulipotyphla; Soricidae.
UCAUUACAGCCUACUCUGUCAAUUGAACUUCAGCCUUAAUUGGUCAUUCAAAGAGGUCAAACUGGAUGUUUGAGUAGUAACCUGACAGAGGAAACAAUG